Gorilla gorilla gorilla (western lowland gorilla) is the source of this 1256-nucleotide long non-coding RNA. RefSeq lists it as uncharacterized. NCBI's taxonomy places the organism in Eukaryota, Metazoa, Chordata, Mammalia, Primates, Hominidae. The transcript is spliced from 2 exons. The record is from RefSeq and is a predicted model, not a curated record.
GCCAUGCCUUGGGGCUGUCAACCAGCCACCUAGUGGUAAGCUGAUUAUAUCAGAACACCUUCUCCUGGAAAGGGCAGUGACUUGUCUCAUCUGGGAUCCACCCACAUCCCAGGUGUGGGUUUGCCUUUCCUUGUGCAGUACCGUGCCGGCACUAACAUCUCAGAGAUUUACCAACACAGGAUUCCAUAUAACAUCAGCUUGGAGCACACGCAGGGGAUGCAUGUGAGCCAGGCGACCGCGGGGUCCACCGGAUCAUCUAACGCAACACCACUUAGGAGAUGCUGCCCUGACCGUAAAGGCAGAGAUAAAAUGCCGGCCUGGUGAUACACUUCAUGGGGUUGGGGUGCCAUAUUUCAGAUGAACCAACGGCCAAUCGAUGGCGCUGGGUGCCCAAGCAGUAAAAUGCAUGGAUGGAGGAAAUGGUGAAAGAAGAGGUGGCCCGUCUCACCAUCGCUCUAGAAACCCAGUAUGAACUUUGCGCUCAUCUUCCCCAAUUUUAGGUCUGGCAAAUCUAGAGGCCCUGGUUCAAACAGGUGGAGAAGGCUUCUACCACACAACACCAAAGCCAUGGUGGCCACCUGGUCACUUGGGGCUGCCCAUGCCAGAAGUCCAGCAGGCAUCACAAAGAGUUUCCAUGCCAGCCAGAUCAUCUGACCCUCAUUACUGUGAAGGGCAGAGUUGCCACUGCAUAAUUCUGGGAAUCAGGGGCUUCACUGGGCCUUUCUCCAUGCUCCUAUGAACAUGCUCCUGUGCGCAGUCUUCACUGUGACUGGAUUACCACAGCAGCCAGGGUUGGAAAAAGAACAGCAACAAAGACCAUGACCAGCACCAUCCUAAAGAACGAGCACAGUGAACCCAAUGUGAAGUGUUGGCAGAACAGGAAGGAGCCUGGUGCUCCAGCAGGUUCUCCUCUGAUGGUGUCAGACGUCCCUUCAGCCCUAACAGCUUGGGUGCAGCACUCGUGGCACACUCGGGGAGCUGGAAGCAUCUGAGAAUUGACACCCCAGGUGUAGCCCUCAGACUAAUGCCGUGCGGAGGGUGCAGAGGCAAACACGUUGCAGCUCCCUUUCCAGCAGCGAUAGCUCUGAGGUGCGACCUACGCUGCUGCCAGAAGUCCCUUGGGAGAUGACCCACACUGACCCACCAGGACUUGGCUUGGGACGCAGGAUUUCUGGUCCUUCUCUUCCCACCCAUUUCCCCAUGCCCCUCUGCUGGUUUCUACUGGGAACAUAACUUAAGAAAUAACUUUCACAUGA